AGAACGAACGCUGGCGGCAUGCCUAAUACAUGCAAGUCGAACGAACACUUCGGUGUUAGUGGCGCACGGGUGCGUAACGCGUGGGAAUCUGCCCUUGGGUUCGGAAUAACAGUUGGAAACGACUGCUAAUACCGGAUGAUGACGAAAGUCCAAAGAUUUAUCGCCCAGGGAUGAGCCCGCGUAGGAUUAGCUAGUUGGUGAGGUAAAGGCUCACCAAGGCGACGAUCCUUAGCUGGUCUGAGAGGAUGAUCAGCCACACUGGGACUGAGACACGGCCCAGACUCCGUACGGGAGGCAGCAGUAGGAAUA
Molecule: ribosomal RNA, 309 nt
Filed under: uncultured soil bacterium
Lineage: Bacteria
Description: bacterial SSU rRNA
Rfam family: Bacterial small subunit ribosomal RNA
Source: RNAcentral